UACGUAGGAAGCGAGCGUUGUCCGGAAUUAUUGGGCGUAAAGGGCUCGUAGGCGGUUUGUCGCGUCGGGAGUGAAAACGCCGUGCUUAACACGGCGCUUGCUUUCGAUACGGGCAGACUAGAGGUAUGCAGGGGAGAACGGAAUUCCUGGUGUAGCGGUGAAAUGCGCAGAUAUCAGGAGGAACACCGGUGGCGAAGGCGGUUCUCUGGGCAUUACCUGACGCUGAGGAGCGAAAGUGUGGGGAGCGAACAGG
Molecule: ribosomal RNA, 253 nt
Filed under: uncultured bacterium
Lineage: Bacteria
Description: partial 16S ribosomal RNA
Rfam family: Bacterial small subunit ribosomal RNA
Source: RNAcentral